This is a non-coding RNA of Pimephales promelas (fathead minnow), 259 nucleotides long. NCBI's taxonomy places the organism in Eukaryota, Metazoa, Chordata, Actinopteri, Cypriniformes, Leuciscidae. The record is from RefSeq and is a predicted model, not a curated record.
CUUACAUUUAAGGUAAGUACUAAUUACCACAUGGUACGGUCUAAAUUAAAGAGUUCAAAAGGUGUAGCACGCACAUCCAAAACAAUAAAACUGGGUUCUGGGCAGUAAGGUAGCAACAAAAGUAAACAAUAAGUCCGCACACCAGAAGAUGCUCCUACGAAAAUUUAAUGGUUGCUCACCACGUGUACAAACGUGUACACGUGUAUACGGUCUAAAUUAAAAUCAUAGCAGAAACAAAUUAUUUUGACUUUUCUAGUAA